GUCCCGUUCGUCUAGAGGCCUAGGACGGCGCCCUCUCACGGCGCUAACACCGGUUCGAAUCCGGUACGGGAUGCCA
This 76-nucleotide transfer RNA is filed under the name Acetobacteraceae bacterium. RNAcentral's name for it is "tRNA-Glu". It matches the Rfam family "tRNA". Rfam says of the family: Transfer RNA (tRNA) molecules are approximately 80 nucleotides in length. Their secondary structure includes four short double-helical elements and three loops (D, anti-codon, and T loops). The record is from RNAcentral. Lineage: Bacteria; Pseudomonadati; Pseudomonadota; Alphaproteobacteria; Acetobacterales; Acetobacteraceae.